This 339-nucleotide unclassified non-coding RNA is filed under the name soil metagenome. RNAcentral's name for it is "partial contains 5.8S ribosomal RNA, internal transcribed spacer 2, and large subunit ribosomal RNA". The stretch from base 1 to 120 matches the Rfam family "5.8S ribosomal RNA", at positions 35 to 154 of the family's 154-position model. The record is from RNAcentral.
GAUGAAGAACGUAGCGAAAUGCGAUAAGUAGUGUGAAUUGCAGAAUUCAGUGAAUCAUCGAAUCUUUGAACGCACAUUGCGCCCCUCGGUAUUCCGUGGGGCAUGCCUGUUCGAGCGUCAUUUAACCCCUCAAGCCUAGCUUGGUAUUGGGUGCUUGUCCCGCCUCUCGCGCGGCGACUCACCUCAAAGUCAUUGGCAGCCCGCAUCUCGCCGGCCGUGAGCGCAGCACAGACGCGCUCUUGGCAACGACGGAUCGGCUCUCCAAAACCUUAUUUCAACCACUGACCUCGGAUCAGGUAGGGAUACCCGCUGAACUUAAGCAUAUCAAUAAGCGGAGGA